This 2497-nucleotide long non-coding RNA is filed under the name Homo sapiens (human). Its description in RNAcentral is "non-protein coding lnc-PRIMPOL-7:4". The record is from RNAcentral. Lineage: Eukaryota; Metazoa; Chordata; Mammalia; Primates; Hominidae.
GCUUCCCCAGGUCGCGGCGGCGGGAGCAACAAGCAGCGGCUCGUGAGUCCGCGGCUCGCACCCAGGGGCGCCCGCACGUGCGGCUAGAACGUCCGAGUCGGGGUCCGGGGCGGGGGGCGCAGGCCCGCGGCGGUAGGGGAGGAGAGCGGGCACCCGAGUCUCCAUCCUCAGGGUGGCCUGAAGGUUCCAGGAGGGCGUCCGGCGAAGGCACGGGGCUGCGACCAUCCAGUUAGCAGGGCUGGUGUGACUGUUGAGAGUAAAUGAAAAUUCGUUUUGUGACACCGACCACCUCCAAGGAAUGAAAGGAGCAGUCAGCCGAAACGACAGCAUUACUUGCGUCCUUACCUAAUUGGAACCUUAUCCGUGGCUGAGGGUGCCACCAUUGGAGGGGCCGCCGCCCCCUCUGACACCACCUGGCGCUCCGCUCCAUUUAGGAGCUAGAACGAAAAGGAGGCCCAUCCCCCAGUAAGUCACAGCCCACGCCAAGAUGAGUUCUGGAGCCUGUGCGACCGAAGUUUCUUCACCGCAGGGCGAGGUGGACAAGGGUGUGAGUUACUUUGACUUCAAGACGUCUCAGUGGCGGCUGGUUCUGGAGAGAGGCUUUAUGCUGGAGCACUUCCAGCAAAGUUCGGCUGGGGCCUCCUUAACUCACUGGCUGGUCACCCUUGGCCUCGGUUUUCAACCAAAGCCUAAGGCCUCAGUUUUCAACGCUGUAAAUGGAAAUAAAUGAGAGAAGAAAGUACAGCCCGUGUGACAAGUGCAGCAAGCAAUGCAACUUCCUUGGGACCUACCCUUUGUGGUCCCUUGCUUUAAAAGUAUAGAUUCACAUUUAGUUAGACCUGUUUCUUCCUCGCAUGCAAUUUCACCAGUCUUUUCCCAGACUUCUGUACUCAACAGAGGAAGUUCCUUCCUGGGAGACCAUAGCUGUUUGUAUGUAAAGAGUUGCGAAAAAACAAAAGCAAAACAAAAAACUCCAACACCUCUCUGUCACAGAAGUAUUGAAUUAUAUAGACUGGAAAAAUGGAAGUAUCCAAGAAAACGCGUGUGGUAAGAAAAUGGCUAAGGUGCAGGAUUCUGUUUUGUGGCUCUGGUCUCAGAAAUAGACCUCACAUACACAUUAUUCCUUAUCCCCUCUAUUAUAAUACUCACUUUUUUUUUUUUUUAAGAGACAGGGUAGGCCGGGUGCAGUGGCUCAUGCCUGUAAUCCCAGCAUUUUGGGAGGCCAAGGCAGGAGGAUCACCUGAGGUCGGGAGUUUGUGACCAGCCUGACCAACAUGGAGAAACUCCAUCUCUACUAAAAAUACAAAAUUAGCCAGGUUUGGUGGCGCAUGCCUCUAAUCCCAGCUACUUGGGAGGCUGAGGCAGGAGAAUUGCUUGAACCCAGGAGGCGCAGGUUGUGGUGAGCCGAGAUUGUGCCAUUGCACUCCAGCCUGGGCAACAAGAGCGAAACUCUGUCUCAAAAAAAAAAAAAAAAAAAAAAGAGAGGGUCUUGCUCUGUCACUCAGGUUGUGCUAUCAUAGCUUACUGUAACCUUGAACUCCUGGCCUUAAGCGAUCCUCCUGCUUCAACCUCCCAAGUAGCUGGGACUACAGGCCUGUGACAGUGCCUGGCCCAGGCACUGACUUUCUUAUGUCAUAUAGCAAUGACCACUAAGGGAAAGUCUAUACAAACUAUAGAAUAGUUGUCAUUCUUUACCCAACCCGGGACACAAGUUAAAAACCUAGUAUUCAUUUUUUUUUUCCUGUACCAAAACAAUCAUCUUCCUUUAUUUUUCCUGGAGCGGGAAGAGGAGAGUGGAGAAGAAGGGAAGAAUGCAAAGUGUCACUUUGAACUUCUCGUUCACCACACACGUGGGAGUCCACUCAUGUCAGCAGCCUCCGUGCACAGGCCCCAGGUGAAAGAAAGAAUGAGGUCUAGUUGGACCAGCUAACACUGCCUGCCUUGUGUUUACGAAAGGCAGCUGCCUCUGUGGUGUGAUUUCAGGGGAGCCAGACAGGGCCGGGGCCACGAACCUGCAUCCUGCAUCCUAAGCACCUAUUGCCAUGCGUGAGGCUAACUGGAAACUCACUUGCUGGGUGCAGAUAGCUUCCAAACUAUUGUGAUGCUCAUGCUUGACUUCCCAAGGAACGUGUUUCAGGAAAGGCCAUUGCCCUCAUUAUGGUCUUUGAUAAGCAGGAAGAAGUUUGUUGUUCCUUUUUUUUCUUAAUGCCCUACUUCGUGCAACAUACAUCCAAUCAGUCAUAUCCUAUUGACGCUACCCCUAAAUAUCUCUGGGCCUGGCCCGUGCUCAGGGCACUGCCUUCAUUCAGUUACUGCACUUGCCUGCUGCCUGUGCUCCUGGUCUCCUGCUUGGACUCCCCCAGGCCAGCAGCCACACUACUGCCAAAAUCCAGUCGAAAAUUAACUUCAGGUAAAGCACAAUUCCAAACCUAACACUGCCCCCCUCAAAAGCCUCUCUGUAGCCUUCAGAAUAAAGACCAUAUUAUUUGACAAGACA